AGCUCUAAUAGCGUAUAUUAAAGUUGUUGCAGUUAAAAAGCUCGUAGUCGGAUGUCGGGCUCGGGCAGGCUGUCGGCUUCGGUCGGACGGCAGGCUCGGGUCUUUCUGCCUGAGGAUCCAUCUCAUUCACUUGGGGUGGGGACGCAGGCCGUUUACUUUGAAAAAUUAGAGUGUUCAAAGCAGGCCUACGCUUGAAUACAUUAGCAUGGAAUAAUGGAAUAGGACUUUGGUGCUAUUUUGUUGGUUUAUGGGACCGAAGUAAUGAUUAACAGGGACAGUUGGGGCCGUUUAUAUUUCGUUGUCAGAGGUGAAAUUCUUGGAUUUACGAAAGAUAAACUUCUGCGAAAGCAUUCGGCAAGGAUGUUUUCA
RNAcentral lists this ribosomal RNA (369 nucleotides) under uncultured eukaryote. RNAcentral describes it as "SSU rRNA". It matches the Rfam family "Eukaryotic small subunit ribosomal RNA", at positions 587 to 972 of the family's 1831-position model. The record is from RNAcentral.